This 1834-nucleotide ribosomal RNA is filed under the name Potaspora aequidens. RNAcentral's name for it is "eukaryotic LSU rRNA". The stretch from base 1 to 1365 matches the Rfam family "Microsporidia small subunit ribosomal RNA". The record is from RNAcentral. Lineage: Eukaryota; Fungi; Microsporidia.
CACCAGGUUGAUUCUGCCUCAACGUGGACGCUAGUCUCAUAGAUUAGCCAUGCUGUCGUAAGCGAAGCGAUUAGUGGAGCGGCGGACGGCUCAGUAACAGGCAAGUAUUUGAUCUCCAUAACCGGACAACCUCAGGAAACAGAGGGGAAAACGGAUUAAGAGCAUGUGAAGAGCAUGUGAUGAUAACUCUAAGAGUGAUGGAGAGUAAGAAGUCAGCCCAUCAGUUAAUAUGUAGGGUAAGGGCCUACUUAGACGAAGACGGGUACGGGGGAUUAGGGUUUGAUUCCGGAGAGGGAGCCUGAGAGAUGGCUACCAGGUCUAAGGAACGCAGCAGGCACGAAAAUUACCGAAGCCCACGAAGGGGCGGUAGUGAAGAGACGUAAAAACAAGGAUGAGUAAAUAAGAUCUUGGUAACUGGAGGACAAGUCUGGUGCCAGCACCAGCGGUAAUACCAGCUCCAGGAGUGUCUAUGAUGAUUGCUGCGAUUAAAAGGUCCGUAGUCGAAUAGGAAGGCCCGUCUGUAAUGUGAAAUAUCAAGUUUGAAUGAGGACGGGAAGAACUAUGAAUAAGGAGCGAUAAGAGGCUAGAUUAUUGUAGAGUGAGGGGUGAAAUCUGAUGACCUCUACAGGAGUAACAGACGCGAAGCGCUAGCCGGGAGCGUAUCCGAUGAUCAAGGACGUAGGCCGGGGUAUCGAAAACGAUUAGAUACCGUAGUAGUCCCGGCAGUCAACGAUGCCGACACAGUUGGACAGAGAUGUGUGACUGAAGAGAAAUCGAGUAGGGCUAUGGGGAGAGUACGUGCGCAAGCAUAAAAUUUAAAGGAAAUUGACGGAAGAGCACCACAAGGAGUGGAGUGUGCGGCUUAAUUUGACUCAACGCGGGACAACUUACCAUCGCGGAUGGCCGGGAGAGUGUAGUACACGAUAGGUCAAGGAGUGGUGCAUGGCCGUUAUCGACUAGUGGGGUGACCUUUUGGUUAAUUCCGCUAAGUAGUGAGAUCUCUGGGAACCAAUUUAUUGGUACGACAUGUGUUAAAAACACAGGAAGAAAGAGGCAAGAACAGGUCAGUGAUGCCCUUAGGCGUGAUGGGCUGCACGCGCACUACAGUGGUCACAACAGAGAAUUAGAAGAAAUAAAUGUGAUCGAGAGGGAAUGAGCACUGUAAUGUGCACAGGAACGAGGAAUUGCUAGUAAUCGUUGCCUCAUUAAGGAGCGAUGAAUGAGUCCCUGCUCUUUGUACACACCGCCCGUCGUUAUCGAAGAUGAAACCAGGUGCGAACAAGCUAAAGCGAGUGAGUGCAGGGUUUUAGAUCUGAUACAAGUCGUAACAAGGCAGCUGUAGGUGAACCUGUAGCUGGAUCAAUAAGAAAAAUUAAUAAUGAACGAAUUUUAUUUUAAACCAUACUCAAGGGAUCGUUAGGCUCUCCAGACGAGGAAGGGCGCGACAGAAAGCGAAAAGCAUCGGAAUAGUGAUUAUGACGAUGUGUGCCUGAAUAGUGUCAUGACGACAUGAGUACUCCUUGGAAUUAAGCAUAUGAGUAAAGGAAGGAAAAGAAACCAACAGGGAUUCCCAUAGUAGCGGCGAGUGAACAGGGAAGAGUCCACAAGUGUAAUCCUAGUGUAAAUUAGGAGAUGUCGCUCAGAUGGUUGAAGAGAAGUAGUUGGGAAACUAUGCCAUAGAGGGUUACAGCCCCGUAUCAGAGACCUGGAGUGUGUAUGAGUAGUUGUGCUUGGUAAUGCACGAUGAAGAGGUGGUAGUGACCAUCUAAGACUAAAUACGAGGAGAGACCGAUAGCGAAGAAGUAGGACGACCGAAAACGAGAAAUUGAGUGUG